GUCUGAUGUUGGCCUUGUGGAUACAACUCACGUUGCCUCUAGGUCUCCCAGGGCCAGCAGUGUCAAUAACCAGAGUGUUUUGUGCUUUAACCUUCUUGAUUCAGUGGUGUAGGUGCAGCCAAUGAGUCUGUAGCUACAUGGCAGGCUACGCUUAACCUUGGUGGCUACACCUGAUGAUCGUCUAUACUGUAAAUCUCAGCUCAGCCCUGGCAAACCUCCACUAGCCUUCCAACUCUGCCCUUCCUUGGAAAAUAACCAGGUCUUUGUAGGAAACAGUGUUUUCAGUUCUGAAAGCGGCAGAAAUCUUGAUUUUCCUCAAUGCAACGAGCUCAGCGGUCUCCGACAGCCAGUGAUGAAUUCUAGGCUCAAACAGCGGCUGUCUUUCCAAAGGA
Nothoprocta perdicaria is the source of this 392-nucleotide long non-coding RNA. RefSeq lists it as uncharacterized. Lineage: Eukaryota; Metazoa; Chordata; Aves; Tinamiformes; Tinamidae. The transcript has 2 exons. The record is from RefSeq and is a predicted model, not a curated record.